RNAcentral lists this ribosomal RNA (670 nucleotides) under Enterococcus sp. CAY08. RNAcentral's name for it is "partial 16S ribosomal RNA". Lineage: Bacteria; Bacillati; Bacillota; Bacilli; Lactobacillales; Enterococcaceae. The record is from RNAcentral.
UUUUCGAUCCUUGAAAAAAGUGUGCACCCCUGCGAAAAGAAAAAAACACUAGAGAUUUCAAUGGGGGAAGGAGGUGUACCCCCCUCGAACCGGAACAAUACAUAAUUUUUCCGGCCGGUAAAAAUGGGUGUGUCCCGGUGAAAUGCAUAAAGAUCUGGUUGUCUCCGGUGGCAAAGGCUGCCCCCUGGACAAAAACAAAAACUCAGUCGAAAGCUGGGGAGCAAACAGGAUUAGAACCCUGGCAACCACACCUAUACAUGUCCACUUGAGGUUGUGCCUUGAGCCCUGCUUCCGAAAUAACUCUUUAGUCGACGCCUGGGAUACGGCCGACGGUAAACUCAAGAUUUGCGGGUCCCAACAGCAUUGACAUUUGUUUAAUCUUGAACACAAAAUCCUAUUCUCUUGACAUCAACACUUUCCGAAAGGGUUGGUGUCCUAAACCCUGAAGAGUGUUUAGGCCUUCUCACCAGUUUUGAAGUUCGUUAAUUCGAACAACGUCUCUUACCUUGGUUCAACUACCGACCGGAAUCAAGGUCCUCCGCUAAAACGUGGGAUGGGGGCACCUUCCAUUAACGGGCACUAUAUCCGGGAAACUCUACAAAAGGCCAAUAAUAACCCCUCCCAUAAUUUAGGAAUUUUAGUGGCUCUCUUCCGUUUGAUCUCGCUCCUC